Coturnix japonica (Japanese quail) is the source of this 2025-nucleotide long non-coding RNA. The record is from Ensembl. NCBI's taxonomy places the organism in Eukaryota, Metazoa, Chordata, Aves, Galliformes, Phasianidae.
CACCCCCCAGGCUAAUGUGGAGAAUAACCUGUGGGGAAGGAGACUUGGUGCAAGAGGGAGUUGACAGCGAAGAGGAGUGGAAGAAGAGUUAGAAAUGUGCUGAGGGAGAGAGAGAUAUCCAGAAGGGAAGGUCACAGAUAGGGGAGGUCUUUCAUACUCUCCUAUGAGUCCACCUGGAGAGUUAAUGGGAUGGUUUGUGUUGCCAUGCAUCCAAGGGAAGAGACCUGCUGUGCUGAAAAGGCAUAAUACAGGCUUCAAGCCAGCUCUAAGUGUUUGGCAGCCCAUGCCUGACCGAGGAAAUAAGCACUCAGAUGGCUGCUUCUGUGGAUGCCCAGGAGAAAGGCAGGAUAAACUAACAAAAUGGAGCAGGGCUGUAUAGUGAAAGUGUUUGUUGUCUGGAGGACUCUGGCUUCACUUGCUGGAGAGGGCUAGAAAUACAUAAUGAAUAAGACAGGAUACUCCAGAAAGCCAUAAAAUAGUCUCAGGGGGCAUGUUUGACGCCUCUGUGGAGAGCUAGAUUCUGCAUCUUGCUCAGCCACAGACUUGGUUCCUAUCCCUUGAAUGGAAAAGCUGACCACAACGUGCAUGCUUCUCAGCUUCUCAUUUCUUGUAUGUCCAAGGUGCAUUUCACUGGACAAAAUCUUCUCCUUCAGCUCAGCGUUUCUGUAUUCUAUUCACUCCAUGUUGGCAACCCUGCACAUAGCAGGGGGGUUGAAACUACAUCAUCACUGGGGUCCUUUGAAACUCAGGCCAUUCCAUGGUUCUAUGAUUCUCCUGUUGCCACCUCCAUGGGACACCACGAAGAGGCCAGCAGCUUUGGUUGGCCACAGGUCCUUCUGACACCUGUGACCAGGCAUUGGAGGCUCCCUGCCUCAUCUCUGUAUCUCAUAGCUCCUGGAGUGGGCUGUGACAUAAAUACCUUGCGGGAAGUACAGUGUGAUGAGGAAGCUGUGCCAGCCACCCCACUCAGCCCCACUGCCAUACUGUCUGUGGCAACACUGGUGUGUGGUUGCAGGAGGCAGUGAUGCUGAAUGGAAGAAACCUGAUGACAGGGUAUAUUUCACAGCAUGACAGCUGUAACACAGGAUCGUAAGAAAUGUUUGCACUUUGAAAUGCUUUAUCUUCCGUUUAAGGGAUAGUGUUUCUGGCAGGGAAAGAAUAUAUAAGGGUAUUAAAUGACUUUCUUUGCAGGCAAUUAAACAAGGAAGCCGAUCAAAGACAUUUAAAUAAUUAUAACAGAUGUUUAUUGCCUGAUGCAGUUUACUGCAUCCUAUUAUUUCUGUUACAUACAGGAGGAAAGAACACAUGGCAAACUGUACCACAAAAGAAAUUCUUUACUGCCUUGUGAUGAAUGUGGCUGCUUCUCUGACUCCCCUUAAUUGUAUUGUGUUGAGAACAAAUCAGUGAGAAGUAGUGUUUGGAGGGUAGAGAAGUGGCUUACUGAAUGGAGGAGCAGCACCAAGUGGUGUGCAAAGACAUGGGGUUGGUGGUAAACACCUUUGAGACAACAGACUGCUGUGGGAUUGCUCCAAGAGUGAUGCUUAGCUCACUCACACUGGGAACCUCAGUUUCUCCUGAAGUUAUUCAUAUAGUACUUAGAGGGACAUCCUGUCUCAGGAUAAAAGUGUUAGUGGCACUGUAGUCUGCAGGGACAUCUGGGAAUGGGCUCAGGUGGGCAACUAAGGAUCAGUAAAAGGCAAGCAUGUGACAGCUCCCCCAGGUACUCUCCAGACAUUUUUUGUUGUAGGGCCAGGUGCAUUUUCUUUGUCAUUAAUAACAUAAUAGCAUACUUUAGCACUAUGUAUUUAAUUCUGUAUAUUUAAAAACAGUUUUUUUUCUUGCCGUGAAUUUAAGCAUUUGGAAUAGACUGUGUAGGACAGUAAGUAUUCUAGAGGAACCUAUGAGCUUUUCACCUGGUUAACUCUUUUAUUUCUCCAAUUAAAAGAAAGGGAUGUUUGUUUCCCUAAACAAUAACAAAAGGUUCUAACAACCACACUCCUCCCAAUCCCAAAUCCCCAAAUGAAA